Molecule: ribosomal RNA, 587 nt
Filed under: Aspergillus niger
Lineage: Eukaryota; Fungi; Ascomycota; Eurotiomycetes; Eurotiales; Aspergillaceae
Description: eukaryotic LSU rRNA
Rfam family: 5.8S ribosomal RNA (bases 215-368)
Source: RNAcentral
GUUCGUAGUGACCUGCGGAGGAUCAUUACCGAGUGCGGGUCCUUUGGGCCCAACCUCCCAUCCGUGUCUAUUGUACCCUGUUGCUUCGGCGGGCCCGCCGCUUGUCGGCCGCCGGGGGGGCGCCUCUGCCCCCCGGGCCCGUGCCCGCCGGAGACCCCAACACGAACACUGUCUGAAAGCGUGCAGUCUGAGUUGAUUGAAUGCAAUCAGUUAAAACUUUCAACAAUGGAUCUCUUGGUUCCGGCAUCGAUGAAGAACGCAGCGAAAUGCGAUAACUAAUGUGAAUUGCAGAAUUCAGUGAAUCAUCGAGUCUUUGAACGCACAUUGCGCCCCCUGGUAUUCCGGGGGGCAUGCCUGUCCGAGCGUCAUUGCUGCCCUCAAGCCCGGCUUGUGUGUUGGGUCGCCGUCCCCCUCUCCGGGGGGACGGGCCCGAAAGGCAGCGGCGGCACCGCGUCCGAUCCUCGAGCGUAUGGGGCUUUGUCACAUGCUCUGUAGGAUUGGCCGGCGCCUGCCGACGUUUUCCAACCAUUCUUUCCAGGUUGACCUCGGAUCAGGUAGGGAUACCCGCUGAACUUAAGCUAUCAAAA